Molecule: ribosomal RNA, 467 nt
Filed under: uncultured bacterium
Lineage: Bacteria
Description: partial 16S ribosomal RNA
Rfam family: Bacterial small subunit ribosomal RNA
Source: RNAcentral
GACGAACGCUGGCGGCGUGCUUAACACAUGCAAGUCGAACGGUGAUGCUCCAGCUUGCUGGAGUGGAUCAGUGGCGAACGGGUGAGUAACACGUGAGCAACCUGCCCCAGACUCUGGAAUAAGCGCUGGAAACGGCGUCUAAUACUGGAUACGAACUGGCCCGCAUGGGCAUGGUUUGGAAAGUUUUUCGGUUUGGGAUGGGCUCGCGGCCUAUCAGCUUGUUGGUGAGGUAAUGGCUCACCAAGGCGACGACGGGUAGCCGGCCUGAGAGGGCGACCGGCCACACUGGGACUGAGACACGGCCCAGACUCCUACGGGAGGCAGCAGUGGGGAAUAUUGCACAAUGGGCGAAAGCCUGAUGCAGCGACGCCGCGUGAGGGAUGACGGCCUUCGGGUUGUAAACCUCUUUCAGCAGGGAAGAAGCGAAAGUGACGGUACCUGCAGAAGAAGCACCGGCUAACUACGUG